Marmota marmota marmota (Alpine marmot) is the source of this 107-nucleotide small nucleolar RNA. Lineage: Eukaryota; Metazoa; Chordata; Mammalia; Rodentia; Sciuridae. The record is from Ensembl.
GUGCCUUCUUAAGGUUGACACAGUACUUUAAGAGGCUAACACAGAGGGUAAAGGAAACCUCCAUAAAACCCAGAGAAGAAGCUGGGCAUAUGCCUGUAAUCCCAGUG